This is a long non-coding RNA of Equus caballus (horse), 1168 nucleotides long. RefSeq lists it as uncharacterized. The record is from RefSeq and is a predicted model, not a curated record. Lineage: Eukaryota; Metazoa; Chordata; Mammalia; Perissodactyla; Equidae.
GAUGGAUGGGUGAAUUAGUAAACAGAUGGAAGGGAUGGAGGGAGGGGAAGAGAAUGAAUAAAAUAAGCGAGAUACAGUUCUCCUGUUUUGACCUGGUGAAUAUAUUUGGGGGUAGGGAGAGAGCUACCCCUUCAAUUGUUACAUGUUUAUUGAACGUUCACUAGGUGGGAGGUACUAGACUAGGAAAUACUACAGUGUGGAAGACAGAUAGUCUCUGCCCUCACAGACACACACUCUAGUAGGGAUACAGACAAAUAUACAAGUGAUUAUCACAUGCUGUGAUAAAUAUUAUGAGGGGAGUACAGACAGCUAAAGGAAGGCUUCCUGGAGUAAGUGACAUCUAAACUGAACCUUGAAGGAAGAGUAGCUGUUAGCUGGGUGAACAGGGCAUGGGGUGGGGGUGGGGGUAGAGUACUCCAAACAAAGGGAGCAGUGUGAGCAUCAAGCCCAGGAGCAGGAGCCAAACAGGUUUGAGGAAGAGCUUACAGGUAGAAGAACCUCAGGCGUGUGUUUGAGUACCAGCCAGUGGAGCCGCCGCCUUAUCCUGCCGCAGCUACUCCCCCUCGGUGGACAUCUGGUGUUUUCCUCUGCCUAGGAUCAUCCAGUCCUCCUUCUGGAACAGCUUCCUGAUUUUCUUUGAGGAAAUCCCCAAAAUUCCCCUCCACCAUUCUCACACCAUGCGGUCCAUGAGCAACUGACAUCGCCCUCCAAUCUCGGGGGGUGGGCAUGAGACCCAGGUCUGGCCAAUCAGGACACAAUAUGUUAAUCUGGCCACAGCGAUUGGAGCUCAUGAUCCCACCCCGGCCAAUUAAAGACAGCCCUGGGGCUUUGCCGGACACCUUCGGAAGGGCGGCUUCUCUUCCCACCAGGGGGCGCUGAGCUGAUGGAAGGUGAGCUUGCAGUGGCGGGACCAUCUUGUCACGACGUGGGAGAAGCCGGCCUGAUGAUGAAGCCAACACAGAGAAAACCAAAACCAAAAGACGGAGAGAGACUGAUUCUUAAAGGUACUAUACCAGCUGCUGGAAAUGCUACUACUUGGAAGACAGGGUCUCUGGCCUCACAGAAUAUACACGCUCCUAGGGAGACAGACAAUUAAAGAAGCUGGAUCCAGCUAUGCCUGAGCUACCUCCUCACAUGGUUUAAUAAACUGUCAUUUUUACAUAAGCCA